This 574-nucleotide ribosomal RNA is filed under the name uncultured bacterium. RNAcentral describes it as "partial 16S ribosomal RNA". It matches the Rfam family "Bacterial small subunit ribosomal RNA", at positions 355 to 922 of the family's 1533-position model. The record is from RNAcentral.
UGGGGAAUUUUGGACAAUGGGCGAAAGCCUGAUCCAGCAAUGCCGCGUGUGUGAAGAGGGCCUUCGGGUUGUAAAGCACUUUUGUCCGGAAAGAAAUCCUUGGCUCUAAUACAGUCGGGGGAUGACGGUACCGGAAGAAUAAGCACCGGCUAACUACGUGCCAGCAGCCGCGGUAAUACGUAGGGUGCAAGCGUUAAUCGGAAUUACUGGGCGUAAAGCGUGCGCAGGCGGUUUGCUAAGACCGAUGUGAAAUCCCCGGGCUCAACCUGGGAACUGCAUUGGUGACUGGCAGGCUAGAGUAUGGCAGAGGGGGGUAGAAUUCCACGUGUAGCAGUGAAAUGCGUAGAAAUGUGGAGGAAUACCGAUGGCGAAGGCAGCCCCCUGGGCCAAUACUGACGCUCAUGCACGAAAGCGUGGGGAGCAAACAGGAUUAGAUACCCUGGUAGUCCACGCCCUAAACGAUGUCAACUAGUUGUUGGGGAUUCAUUUCCUUAGUAACGUAGCUAACGCGUGAAGUUGACCGCCUGGGGAGUACGGUCGCAAGAUUAAAACUCAAAUGAAUUGACGGGGUCAA